Molecule: ribosomal RNA, 137 nt
Filed under: uncultured eukaryote
Lineage: Eukaryota
Description: partial 18S ribosomal RNA
Rfam family: Eukaryotic small subunit ribosomal RNA
Source: RNAcentral
UGGUGGAGUGAUUUGUCUGCUUAAUUGCGAUAACGAACGAGACCUUAACCUACUAAAUAGCCCAGCCCGCUUUUGCGGGUCGCCGGCUUCUUAGAGGGACUAUCGGCUCAAACCGAUGGAAGUUUGAGGCAAUAACA